This 820-nucleotide ribosomal RNA is filed under the name Streptococcus agalactiae. RNAcentral describes it as "bacterial SSU rRNA". It matches the Rfam family "Bacterial small subunit ribosomal RNA", at positions 8 to 810 of the family's 1533-position model. RNAcentral also lists the same sequence under 2 other names. The record is from RNAcentral. Lineage: Bacteria; Bacillati; Bacillota; Bacilli; Lactobacillales; Streptococcaceae.
AGAGUUUGAUCCUGGCUCAGGAUGAACGCUGGCGGCGUGCCUAAUACAUGCAAGUCGAGCGAACAGACGAGGAGCUUGCUCCUCUGACGUUAGCGGCGGACGGGUGAGUAACACGUGGAUAACCUACCUAUAAGACUGGGAUAACUUCGGGAAACCGGAGCUAAUACCGGAUAAUAUAUUGAACCGCAUGGUUCAAUAGUGAAAGACGGUUUUGCUGUCACUUAUAGAUGGAUCCGCGCCGCAUUAGCUAGUUGGUAAGGUAACGGCUUACCAAGGCAACGAUGCGUAGCCGACCUGAGAGGGUGAUCGGCCACACUGGAACUGAGACACGGUCCAGACUCCUACGGGAGGCAGCAGUAGGGAAUCUUCCGCAAUGGGCGAAAGCCUGACGGAGCAACGCCGCGUGAGUGAUGAAGGUCUUCGGAUCGUAAAACUCUGUUAUUAGGGAAGAACAAAUGUGUAAGUAACUAUGCACGUCUUGACGGUACCUAAUCAGAAAGCCACGGCUAACUACGUGCCAGCAGCCGCGGUAAUACGUAGGUGGCAAGCGUUAUCCGGAAUUAUUGGGCGUAAAGCGCGCGUAGGCGGUUUUUUAAGUCUGAUGUGAAAGCCCACGGCUCAACCGUGGAGGGUCAUUGGAAACUGGAAAACUUGAGUGCAGAAGAGGAAAGUGGAAUUCCAUGUGUAGCGGUGAAAUGCGCAGAGAUAUGGAGGAACACCAGUGGCGAAGGCGACUUUCUGGUCUGUAACUGACGCUGAUGUGCGAAAGCGUGGGGAUCAAACAGGAUUAGAUACCCUGGUAGUCCACGCCGUAAACGAU